Non-coding RNA from Macaca mulatta (Rhesus monkey), 2281 nucleotides. The record is from RefSeq and is a predicted model, not a curated record. Lineage: Eukaryota; Metazoa; Chordata; Mammalia; Primates; Cercopithecidae.
CCUGGGCAACAAGAAUGAAACUCUGUCUCAAAAAAAAAAAAAAAGAACAGAGGGCUCUUGCCUGGGCUUGCUCAGAAAAUCCCCACUUCAGAGGAGGGUGCAGCUGUCGCUCCAGCUUCCUGGUUAUGCAUCCCUUGUCAAAUCAGCAGGAAGUUUAAUUCUAUUAAAUAUUAACCCUUGUCCUGAAGGCCUCGGUUGCUUUAGUAGAGAGAAUUGAGGGUAGAAGGUGAAAGAAAAGAGAAAGGGAAAGAGCAUGUAGAAGGCAAACAGAAGGAGAGACAUGAAGUCAGGGAGGAUCAGAAGAUAGAGGGAAGAGAAUAUGAGGGAGAGGAUCGCAAUUCAGCAGGGGUCUCUUCACACGGACAUGUGGGACAUUUGGUGCCGAAAACCCGGGUCAGUGGAACUUCUUCAGGAGACCCUGUCCUCACCCUCACUCCGUGAAGAGAUCCACCUACGACCUCGGGUCCUCAGACCAACCAGCCCAAGGAACAUCUCACCGAUUUUAAAUCGGAUCUUCUCAGCUUAGCGGCUGAAGACUGACACUGCCCAAUCGCCUCAGAAGCCUACAGGACCAUCACAGACAUUUUGGAUAACUCUUACAGUGGAGGGUAAGUCCGUCCCCUUCUUAAUCAAUACAGAGGCUACCCACUCCACAUUACCUUCUUUUCAAGGGCCUGUUUCCCUUGCCCCCAUAACUGUUGUGGGUACUGACGACCAAGCUUCAAAACCCUUUAAAACUCCCCAACUCUGGUGCCAACUUGGACAACAUUCUUUAAUGCACUCCUUUUUAGUUCUCCCCACCUGCCCAGCUCCCAAGACAUUUUAACUAAAUUACCUGUUUCCUUUACUAUUCCUGGGCUACAUCUACACCUCGGUGCUACCUUUUGCCCCAGUUCAAAGCCUCCUUCACAUCCUCUCCUUGUAUCUCCCCACCUUAAACCACAAGUAUAGGAUACCUCUACUCCGUCCUUAGCGACCGAUCAUGCACCCCUCACCAUCCCAUUAAAACCUAAUCACUCUUACCCUGUUCAACGCCAAUAUCCCAUCCCACAGCACACUUUAAAAGGAUUAAAGCCUGUUAUCACUCGCCUGUUACAGCAUGGCCUUUUAAAGCCUGUAAACUCUCCUUAAAAUCCCCCAAAUUUUACCUGUCCAAAAACCGGACAAGCCUUAUAGGUUAGUUCAGGAUCUGUACUUUAUCAACCAAAUUGUUUGCCUAUCCACCCCAUGGUGCCAAAGCCAUAAUACUCUCAUAUCCUCAAUACCUCCCUCCACAACCCCUCCAUAACCCAUUAUUCUCUUCUGGAUCUCAAACACGCUUUCUUUACUAUUCCUUGCACCCUUCAUCCCAGCCUCUCUUUGCUUUCACUUGGACUGACCCUGACACCCAUCAGGCUCAGCAAAUUACCUGGGCUAUACUGCUGCAAGGCUUCACGGACAUUCCCCAUCACUUCAGUCAAGCCCAAAUUUCUUCCUCAUCCAUUACGUAUCUCGACACAAUUCUUCAUAAAAACACACAUGCUCUCCCUGCUAAUCAUGUCUGGCUAAUCUCCCAAACCUGAACCCCUUCUACAAAACAACAAUUCCUUUCCUUCCUAGGCAUGGUUAGGUACUUCCACCUUUGGAUACCCAUUUUUGCCACCCUGAAUAAACUAUAAUGUAAACUCACAAAAGCAAACCUAGCUGACCCCAUAGAUCCUAAAUCCUUUCACCACUCCUCAUUCCGUUCCUUAAAAACAGCCCUAGAAGUUGCCCCUCGCUGGCUCUCCCUAACUCAUCCCAACCCUUUCCAUUACACACAGCCAAAGUACAGGGCUGUGCGGUCAAUAUCUUACACAAGAGCCAGGACCACGCCCUGUAGCCUUUCUGUCCAAACAAUUUAACCUUACCGUUUUAGGCUGGCCCCCACUCCCAUGACUGUAUCUCUCUGAUCCACCUGACAUUCACUCCAUUUUCCCGUAUUUCCUUCUUUUGUGUUCCUCACCCUAAUCACACUUGGUUUAUCGAUGGCAGUUCCACCAGGCCUAAUCACCACACACCAGCAAAGGCAGGCUAUGCUAUAGUAUCUUCUGCAUCUAUGAUUAAGCCUGCCCUGCUCCACUACCUCUCAGCAAGCUGAACUCAUUGCCUUAACUUGGGCCCUCACUCUUGCAAAGGGACUACGUGUCAAUAUACUGACCCCAUAUCCUUCACCACUAUGCUGUUUUAUGGGCUGAAAGCUUUCCUCACUACACAAGGGUCCUCCAUCAUUAAUGCAUCUUUAAUAAAAACUCUUCUCAAG